RNAcentral lists this ribosomal RNA (786 nucleotides) under uncultured Bacillota bacterium. Its description in RNAcentral is "bacterial SSU rRNA". It matches the Rfam family "Bacterial small subunit ribosomal RNA", at positions 554 to 1349 of the family's 1533-position model. Lineage: Bacteria; Bacillati; Bacillota. The record is from RNAcentral.
UUGGGCGUAAAGGGUGCGUAGGUGGCAGAUCAAGUCUGGAGUAAAAGGUAUGGGCUCAACCCGUACUGGCUCUGGAAACUGAUCAGCUAGAGAACAGAAGAGGACGGCGGAACUCCAUGUGUAGCGGUAAAAUGCGUAGAUAUAUGGAAGAACACCGGUGGCGAAGGCGGCCGUCUGGUCUGGAUUCUGACACUGAAGCACGAAAGCGUGGGGAGCAAAUAGGAUUAGAUACCCUAGUAGUCCACGCCGUAAACGAUGAGAACUAGGUGUUGGGGGAAUAACUCAGUGCCGCAGUUAACGCAGUAAGUUCUCCGCCUGGGGAGUAUGCACGCAAGUGUGAAACUCAAAGGAAUUGACGGGGGCCCGCACAAGCGGUGGAGUAUGUGGUUUAAUUCGAAGCAACGCGAAGAACCUUACCAGGCCUUGACAUCCCUUGCAGAGGUAUAGAGAUAUAUCCGAGGCUAUCAAGGAGACAGGUGGUGCAUGGUUGUCGUCAGCUCGUGUCGUGAGAUGUUGGGUUAAGUCCCGCAACGAGCGCAACCCUUGUGAUAUGUUACUAACAUUGAGUUGAGGACUCAUAUCAGACUGCCGGUGAUAAACCGGAGGAAGGUGGGGAUGACGUCAAAUCAUCAUGCCCCUUAUGGCCUGGGCUACACACGUACUACAAUGGCGUCUACAAAGAGCAGCGAACCUGUGAAGGCAAGCGAAUCUCAUAAAGGGCGUCUCAGUUCGGAUUGAAGUCUGCAACCCGACUUCAUGAAGCUGGAAUCGCUAGUAAUCGCGAAU